GGGGCCGUAGCUCAGUUGGGAGAGCGACGCGCUGGCAGAGCGUAGGCCACGGGUUCGAGUCCCGUCGGCUCCA
RNAcentral lists this transfer RNA (73 nucleotides) under Actinomycetes bacterium. RNAcentral's name for it is "Actinobacteria bacterium tRNA-Ala". It matches the Rfam family "tRNA". From Rfam's summary of the family: Transfer RNA (tRNA) molecules are approximately 80 nucleotides in length. RNAcentral also lists the same sequence under 1 other name. The record is from RNAcentral. Lineage: Bacteria; Bacillati; Actinomycetota; Actinomycetes.